Molecule: long non-coding RNA, 1611 nt
Filed under: Vigna radiata
Lineage: Eukaryota; Viridiplantae; Streptophyta; Magnoliopsida; Fabales; Fabaceae
Description: long non-coding RNA (VRAD_LNC010129)
Source: RNAcentral
UUGUGCUUGAUGAUGGUGGCUGGACGGUAUUGCAUAGGAAGCAUAGGGGUUUGGUUUUGUUUGGGUCAAAAAGUUGAAGAAAAGUGUGUGUUGAAGUUGGAUUUAUGAAGGUAGAACUUGGUUUUAUUGUUCUUGAAUCAUUUUGCAAUUGAACUUUGGUUUGUUGGGUGUGUACCUCGGUUUGGAGCUGGGAAGAACCAAUUUGGAUGUUGGUUUGUUGAAGAAAAAAACGAAAUUGGAGUGGAGAAGGAAGAGAGAAGGUGCAUUCAAUUUUUACCCGAUUUGGCCAAGCACAUAUGAUGCUCAUUUUGACUAAAGGAGUGUUUCCACUUUAAGCUUUUUCCUUGCAUUGUUUCUUGCGUGAAUUGCCAUGGAGAAUGGGAUGCUUUGUGUUUGUAUUUGCUUUGACCUUGCUUAUGUGGCACAAGGGUAGCAGAAAUUGAGCACUUUUUGACUUGUGGACUUUUUGAAGCAUUGCUUGCAACCAUUGCAUUGGUGAUUCACGUAAAUUGGUGUCUUGGUGUGUGGAACAAGAAUUUUUGCUGCAUGGAGAGAGGAGUGCACGGUUUUCAUUGUGAUGUGGAAGGCAUAUGUUUGUUGUCUUGAAGUAUGGAGCACAUGUAUAAGAAGUCAACACACCUUGCAUGUUCAUUUAAGGAAGAAAAGUCAAAAUUGAAAUUGGACCUUGGUGGGCUAGGAGCUCACGACCCAAGGGGGUUUCUCAAGCUAUUUGCACCUUUUAAUUUCAAUUGGUAGAUGAAUAUUGGUCACAUAAUUGAUAGAUAAAAAGAGCAUGUUUAAUUAUCUCUUUGUUUUGCAUUAAUUUGCAUAGUAGGAUUAGUUGCAUUUGAUUCCUCUAAUUCAGUGUUGCAUUUUAAUAGUUUUAAUUGUGUUUAGAUAAUUGUUUGUUGAAAUGUUGGGUUUAGCACUUUAUUUUACCUUGAUGUUUUCUAACUUACACAGUUGAGUUUAAUGUCCAUUCAUUUUAAUUUAGUUAUUCGUAUUCACAAAAACACUUUUCAAAACCCCCCCUUUUUCGUGUUAGACUCGACUCUGAACCGCAGUUGGUCCUUGAGAGACGACCUAGGGGUCAUUCCCUAGCAUUAUACUGCAUUUCUAAAUUGCAAUCAAAUUUGUAUGGGCCGUGACACCCAUCAGUGACCUUCUGAGAAGUUUUCCCAAAAAAUGUGUGAGUGAGGACAAAGCACAUUGGAAAGCUUCAUGUUGAUUUGUGGGGGUAGUCAAUAUUCCCUAUAAGUUGUCGGGGCGUUUCAAAUGGUAUCAGAGCCUAGCCUCUCCCAGUACGGUGUGGUUCGAGGACGAACCAAGCGGAAGCUGGUGGGCAUGUGACACCCGGGCACUGACAAGGGCGGGGAGUGAUCGCCGGUGCAAGAGGCACGGACAAGGAGCCGCUCCUGACAGGCUUUCAGUGGAAGGCGCACAUGGAUGAAUCGAACAUACACCGGAAUGAGAGGGAUCUAGAGACUGUAUAGGUAUGGGACUAUACAGUUGAAGAAUAACUUAAAGGAAUUGAUUUGGCUACUCAUAUCAACAAAUGCAUUUGCUUUUCGGUAGCCUAACCCAUAAGAACUCCAUGGUUAAGCGUGCUUA